This is a long non-coding RNA of Electrophorus electricus (electric eel), 2587 nucleotides long. NCBI's taxonomy places the organism in Eukaryota, Metazoa, Chordata, Actinopteri, Gymnotiformes, Gymnotidae. The record is from Ensembl.
AUGGAGAGGUUUCGACAAUCCCGAUCCAGCUUGAUGACUCCACCAGGUUCAGCCACCCCAGUGUCAUCCGCAGGGUCGUUGCACGAACAUGGAUUUAGGACACCCAGCUCUGUUAACACACCCCUGAGGUCAGACCACAUAACCCCAAACAUUUUCCAGUUCCAGCUUCUGCCUGGGAGAAUGCUUCACUCGCCCCAGCCAUGGAAUGUGCAGUAGUUAAAUAUCUAAGACAUGUAAUAACGGUGACUGGCAGUAGUACCCACAGCUAUGGAUGACAUGACCAUUAGCAAAACAAUCACAUUUAUGGUACCUCUUGUUUUCUUUUCUUGGGAAAUUGCAUAAUUAGAUAGUGGUUGCUUAGUCAAGUUUGGUUUCUGGAGGUGAUUCUGAAACUGAGCUAGGUGUUUAGGCUCAGUAACUCUGAGAGACCUGAAUGAUAUCUGGAACAUUUUUGACCUGUGGGCUUUUUGUUACUAGUCUUUUUUCAGUUUUUAUCAGUCUUUUCAGCUACUAGUUUGGUAAUAUCCUUGAGUUUGUUAUAUUGAACAGUUUCUGUUGACUCAGGAGUUCUGCAUGAGUCUGGUUUCACCUUUCUUUUAAUCACCCCACAUUAACUAUUUGAAUUCCACAAAAAUGCAGUUAUUUUCAUUACAGUUCACUUUAUUUGAGAUAUUUAUGUAUUCAGUUUAUUUCUUACACAAAAAGCAAAUACCUGCCUUUCCAUUUUAAGACAGACAAGAACUACUAUAAAAAUUUGUGGACAACUCCUUUCAAUUAACUAGUCCUGGGUAGGAUGUCUUCUAAUUUAAUUCAUUAUAAAGUCAAUUACAAAGUUGUUUUCUCCAGUUUGUUACAAAAUAUAUCUAAACAUACAAAAGGUAAAGUAUCAGAGUGUACAUUUAACCUCCAGUUAUUGCAGUUUGACUUAUUGGGACUGUGGUAAUUCUCAAUGUGUAUGUUGUAGAUUACUGAAACAGCAAUGGUUGCAAGGUUAUGGCUACUCUUAAAGCAAAAGCUUUGAGAAAGGUAAACAAAGACCCAUUAACUCCACACAGAAAAUUCUGAAGCUUUGUCUGUGCUGAAAAAUGCUGCUUUGCCAGUGCAUAUUGUGAAUUAAGGAAGCACUAACUCCAGUGUAUUGCAUUACAGCCUGUAUGUUAUAGCAUUUAAAUACUGCACUAAAACAAAAUGCCCACUUUGAGUUCUAUUGACUUUAAUGAUAUAUAUUAUUGAUUUGGGCAUGUCAAGUUUAUUUACCUACAAACAAUAAGUUGAAUAUGAAACAAAAAGCCCCCCCCCCCCAACUCUGAGAACAAGAUUCUAUGUAUUCUAAGGCACAUUAUAGGACAAUACGGCUUUAAAAGUAAAAAUAUUAAAUAACUGUGCAUUUGAGUGUAUAGUUAAUUGUAUAUGAAAUCAUUAUUCAAAAUCAUUAUUUAAAUAGGCUGUUAAUGUGCAGUUAACCAGCAUGCAUCACCAUAGCUCAUGAAUUUUACAAAACUCCAUCAGUCUAAAGGUUUUAUGCAGCCUGGAUAAGCCAGAACAUGAUAAAUGUUUACAAGCUACACAGGUGCACAGCCUGCAUAUGAUUAAGCUCAAACAUGAAACUUCCCACACCUAAGUUUUGUUUUUAUUACUAAUAAGAGGCUGAGUUUGUCCUGUAAGAUUGUGUUUGAAAACACUAACCUCCCAAAUUCCAAAUUUCUCAUUUGGGCCUCAAUAUUUUUUUGUCUGCUUUGGUAGAGGAUUUUGGGGUUUCUUCCAUUUUUCCCAUAUUUAGGGUUAGUUUCCAGUGUUCAGUGUUUGCAUUACAUCUGCCACACAUUUAUAUACAACAAAUACAAUGAAGUGUGUCAUGAAAAUAACCAUUUCAAAACUAUUAUUACACACUGGUGUUUCUGAAAGGGAAUACUUUUAAACAGUUGUGAAAACUCCAGGUCCAAUAUUCAAGUGCAAUAAAUCAAGAAAGAACUUGAUUUGCUUAGUCUGAUUUAGUUUGUGAACGAAUAGGUAAUCACAGUGCUCAUUAGGCCUUCUGUUCAUGUCGCACAAUAUGGCCUUCAUUAUUACCUACCAGUCAACUACAUAGCACUACUGUACUGUAAGGUUAUGCACGCAUUUCUAAUAAGUUACUGCUGAAGCUAAAUGACCAAAAAAAAAAAAGAAAGAACAAUUAGCCAGUGUAUUGAACACCCUGGCACAAAAGAUAUUUAGAAACAAAUGGAGAGAAAACAAAAUAUAGAAAUGGAAAAAAAAGCAAGAAAGGACAGGGAACUGCAUUUAGCCAAUCUAAAAUAAAAGAUUUUUCAUCUACUCAGUCUUAUUCCAUAAUCCCUGUACAGUACAGUGGGGAAAGUACAAUAGAAACAACUGAAAAGCAAACACCCAAACACUUUCCAUUUCAGUCUUCAGAACUAUUAGGCAGCUCUGCUGACUCACUGUCCUUGGAUGCAAACCAGUCCCGAACUUGCUGGUAACUCAUCUUUGACUUUCGGCAGAGAACAUCAAGGUCUUUCUCCUGCAAUACGCCUGUCUGCUGAUAAUACAGCUCCAGAGGAUGAAUAUCUAAGGAGUCCGACACUGACUU